Non-coding RNA from Manis javanica (Malayan pangolin), 2284 nucleotides. Lineage: Eukaryota; Metazoa; Chordata; Mammalia; Pholidota; Manidae. The record is from RefSeq and is a predicted model, not a curated record.
GAUAGUUUACAGUGAAUGACAGGAACAAACCUGGAAGACGAAAAGCAGAAAUAACAUGGAGAUUUUGGAAGUGGCCAGACCUCAGGAGUCACAGCCCAGGCCCGCCCUUGCCAGCUGCGCGCAGGGAGGCGACGCUCCGUCCUUGCCAGGGGAGCAGAUACCAAAGUAAAGUGGUUACAAAUAUUAAAUGAAAUUCAGCACACUGCGUGCUAGACAGUGAAUACGUCUCCUUCAUUCCCAGAGUCGUAAGAGGGCAGAGGACAAGGCAGGCCGCUCCCCGUGUUCCGGGGCUCAAACACAGCCGAGCUCGCUGGCGGUGAGAAUGUGUAACUGGAGGAGGGAAACGGGUACAGCGCUCCGAGGAAGAAUCUUUUAGAACAACUUCAACAUCUCUGUGAAAAUAUGGAAAAAGAAGUCCAUGGUCACACAGACCACAAACGACUGAGCCCCUGUGAAGUCCAGGGAGCUGUGGGCCUAGCACGCUGGCCGCUCCUUCCGAGCACCAGCAGGCUCCCUCCUGCCCCUCCUGGGUGGCGCUGUGGCAGCUGAGCUCGGCUCCCACCUACCCUGGCUUUGCUGUUGCUGGAGAAGAAGACAGCCCGACACACGGCGCUCGCCGACCUGGGGUGACCCUUAAGUGUGCUCCGAGCUUUGGGAAGGAUCAAAGCUUUGGCAAGGUGAGGUGGACUCUGGGACAGGUUCCAGCCUGGCCAGAAGCAGAAACUGCACAUUUUCCUCAGGAGACAAGUGGUCUGAGAAAGUACUUUGGGGCGCUCAGAAUGUACGUGUUCACAUUUAUUUUGGACCGCCUUUGAAAUUCUUCAGUAGAAGUGCCUCUGCUCUGGACCAGCGCGGUGUGGCAGCUGUUAAUUCUGGGUCUCUGCCUCUGUCUUCCACAUGCACACGGACCAGCAUCCCGUGUUGGGAGCAGGGGGGAAUGGACAGGCAGGACAGAGUGCACCCAGGUGGUCAGAACUUCUCAGCAAUCAAGGGACACAGGGAUCAAUGUCACCUCUGGGUGCUAGGGGCUGGUAUUUGAGUUGUGAUCUGCCUGCCCCCCAAGAGUGGGCUCCCCCCACCCCAGGGCCACAGUGGCUCACGAAUUUUCCUCCCAGAUGGUGAGCCAGUUGGCAUCACGCUCCCAAGGUGUGAAUCUGGGUAACACCCUUUAUGGGGUCAUUUUAGGGAAGGACCCCUGAACUGAAGCUGUUCCUUUCAGAAGGAAUCCCUGGGCCCCGAGGUCAGAGUGUAGUAGCAAAGCUCCUGAAACUGGAUCUUGGGGCACUCCUGGCGUUUCCACCCACUGAGUGCAUGUGAGUUACACUGCUUUUCUGAGCUUCAGUUUUUUCUGCCGUCAAGCAGGAAUAUGUAGCAUUGCUGGGCUCCCACCAUGGAGAGUGGCCUCGACUCAGGGACCCCAUUAGAUCAGCUUCAUGAAGGAAUUUGAAACCUGCCAGGUUGUUAAUGUCGGAGACCCUGUCUUUUAACUUUGGAAACCCCAGACACCUUGGAAAGUCUUCAAUAAAUGUGUGAGACGGAGGAGCAAGUAUAACUUCAUAAUCAGCUACGAGUUCCCUCUUCCCCAGGCUCAGUGUAGACACUGCUGCCAACGUGAGUGGCCUCUUCCUUCCCAGCGGCCUGGGGGGUGGCAGGACCGAGAGGCAGUGGUGGUCCGGGGUACCCAAGGAGAGGGCUUGAGGUGUGCCCGAGUCAGUGAAGCGCCCAGCGCCCGAGGCUGACUUGGAGGCAGCAGGGCCGCCCUUCAAGGGCACCGUGAGCUCGGACAGCAGACACAUCGGUGAUGACCGUGACAGGAAGAUGCUCUGAAUGCUCCGGACUGCUGAAGGCUCUCACACUUCUUGAACAACACCAGAGAGGUAGGAGAUUUCCCCUCUCACGGCCCCCUACUGUCACUGCAAAUGCCUGGACUUUAAUUUUCCACCAUCCUCAUUAGAACAAAUCAGAUGUCAAGGAACACAUGCACAUGCCAUCACUGCAUCCUGGCAUUAUGAACUAAGGCCCUACCCGUUAGGAAAACAGUAACAACUUCUGGCCUAGGAAUGGGUUAAAUAGCCCACAUUUAAUGUGUGUAAGCGAUGCGCCAGCAUAUGGGGAGGCUUCCUAGCUGAUGGCUGCAGCUCUCUGAAGCCCUCUGGGAAGCUCUGGUAGGGCCCACCCCGCAGACCGUUCUGGAACUUCUGAAUCCCGCUGUGUUUCCAUCACUGUUUACUCUUUCCCAAGUGCUUUACACACACGCUGAUCGUUGUGAGCCACACAUCCCCAU